RNAcentral lists this transfer RNA (86 nucleotides) under Actinomyces sp. Its description in RNAcentral is "tRNA-Ser(tga)". It matches the Rfam family "tRNA". From Rfam's summary of the family: Transfer RNA (tRNA) molecules are approximately 80 nucleotides in length. Their secondary structure includes four short double-helical elements and three loops (D, anti-codon, and T loops). Lineage: Bacteria; Bacillati; Actinomycetota; Actinomycetes; Actinomycetales; Actinomycetaceae. RNAcentral also lists the same sequence under 2 other names. The record is from RNAcentral.
GGAGAGGUGACAGAGUGGCCGAAUGUGGCGGUCUUGAAAACCGCUGUACGUCUGACGUACCGGGGGUUCGAAUCCCUUCCUCUCCG